This 177-nucleotide ribosomal RNA is filed under the name Paenibacillus sp. MYb63. RNAcentral's name for it is "partial 16S ribosomal RNA". It matches the Rfam family "Bacterial small subunit ribosomal RNA", at positions 1 to 168 of the family's 1533-position model. Lineage: Bacteria; Bacillati; Bacillota; Bacilli; Caryophanales; Paenibacillaceae. The record is from RNAcentral.
CUUUAUUGGAGAGUUUGAUCCUGGCUCAGGACGAACGCUGGCGGCAUGCCUAAUACAUGCAAGUCGAGCGGACUUGAUGAGAAGCUUGCUUCUCUGAUAGUUAGCGGCGGACGGGUGAGUAACACGUAGGCAACCUGCCCUCAAGUUUGGGACAACUACCGGAAACGGUAGCUAAUA